GCCAGCUUCAUCAGGCUUGUCAAUCCUUCCCCAUUUUAAAGGAAAAUGCUUUCCACAUUGCUUCCAGUGCGAUAUGGCUCUUCUUGUACUUUUUCCUCUUCGUAAGGUAGGAGUGAUGGAAAAUACCAGUCUUUGACGAGCACAUGGAAGUUUCCAGCGACAUGAAUCCACUGUAUCUGAUUUUGGAUUGUAUUUUCUUUAACCCCCUUUUACGGCAUAGAAUUCUGGUGCCUUGCUCCCUGAAUUUGUCUCCAUGCUAACAAGUAGGCUUUCUUCACAUUCUGGCUUACACGGGAACACAACUCUUCCACAAGUGGCCUUUAGUGCUCUUUAUAAUAUGAUUUCCUGUAAUUUUUAAACUGUAUGUG
Molecule: long non-coding RNA, 368 nt
Filed under: Androctonus crassicauda
Lineage: Eukaryota; Metazoa; Arthropoda; Arachnida; Scorpiones; Buthidae
Source: RNAcentral